Molecule: transfer RNA, 69 nt
Filed under: Actinomycetota bacterium
Lineage: Bacteria; Bacillati; Actinomycetota
Description: tRNA-Ala
Source: RNAcentral
GGCAAUUAUGACAUAGGGAGUGCUGCCUUCGCACGGUAGAGGCCGCUGGUUCGAUCCCAGCAUCGCCCA